CCUACGGGAGGCAGCAGUGGGGAAUAUUGCGCAAUGGGCGAAAGCCUGACGCAGCGACGCCGCGUGAGGGAUGAAGGUCUUCGGAUCGUAAACCUCUGUCAGCAGGGAAGAACGGUCACUGUGCUAAUUAGCAGCGAAUUGACGGUACCUGCAAAGGAAGCACCGGCUAACUCCGUGCCAGCAGCCGAGGUAAUACGGGGGGUGCGAGCGUUCAUCGGAAUUACUGGGCGUAAGGCGCUCGUAGGAGGUCCGGUAAGUCGGCGGUAAAAGCCCGGGGCUCAACCACGGCGAGCCGGUGAAACGGUCGGACUAGAGACGGCGAGAAGUACGCGGAAUGCGCGGUGUAGCGGUGAAAUGCAUAGAUAUCGCGCAGAACUCCGAUUGCGAAGGCAGCGUACCGGCGCCGAACUGACGCUGAGGCACGAAAGCGUGGGUAUCGAACAGGAUUAGAUACCCGAGUAGUC
Molecule: ribosomal RNA, 464 nt
Filed under: uncultured bacterium
Lineage: Bacteria
Description: partial 16S ribosomal RNA
Rfam family: Bacterial small subunit ribosomal RNA
Source: RNAcentral